This 1551-nucleotide ribosomal RNA is filed under the name Salmonella enterica. Its description in RNAcentral is "bacterial LSU rRNA". It matches the Rfam family "Bacterial large subunit ribosomal RNA", at positions 1278 to 2812 of the family's 2925-position model. Lineage: Bacteria; Pseudomonadati; Pseudomonadota; Gammaproteobacteria; Enterobacterales; Enterobacteriaceae. The record is from RNAcentral.
GGUAUCAGAAGUGCGAAUGCUGACAUAAGUAACGAUAAAGCGGGUGAAAAGCCCGCUCGCCGGAAGACCAAGGGUUCCUGUCCAACGUUAAUCGGGGCAGGGUGAGUCGACCCCUAAGGCGAGGCCGAAAGGCGUAGUCGAUGGGAAACGGGUUAAUAUUCCCGUACUUGGUGUUACUGCGAAGGGGGGACGGAGAAGGCUAUGUUGGCCGGGCGACGGUUGUCCCGGUUUAAGCGUGUAGGUGUGUGUUCCAGGUAAAUCCGGUUCACUUUAACACUGAGGCGUGAUGACGAGGCACUACGGUGCUGAAGCAACAAAUGCCCUGCUUCCAGGAAAAGCCUCUAAGCAUCAGGUAACACCAAAUCGUACCCCAAACCGACACAGGUGGUCAGGUAGAGAAUACCAAGGCGCUUGAGAGAACUCGGGUGAAGGAACUAGGCAAAAUGGUGCCGUAACUUCGGGAGAAGGCACGCUGACACGUAGGUGAAGUGAUUUACUCACGGAGCUGAAGUCAGUCGAAGAUACCAGCUGGCUGCAACUGUUUAUUAAAAACACAGCACUGUGCAAACACGAAAGUGGACGUAUACGGUGUGACGCCUGCCCGGUGCCGGAAGGUUAAUUGAUGGGGUCAGCGUAAGCGAAGCUCCUGAUCGAAGCCCCGGUAAACGGCGGCCGUAACUAUAACGGUCCUAAGGUAGCGAAAUUCCUUGUCGGGUAAGUUCCGACCUGCACGAAUGGCGUAAUGAUGGCCAGGCUGUCUCCACCCGAGACUCAGUGAAAUUGAACUCGCUGUGAAGAUGCAGUGUACCCGCGGCAAGACGGAAAGACCCCGUGAACCUUUACUAUAGCUUGACACUGAACAUUGAGCCUUGAUGUGUAGGAUAGGUGGGAGGCUUUGAAGUGUGGACGCCAGUCUGCAUGGAGCCGACCUUGAAAUACCACCCUUUAAUGUUUGAUGUUCUAACGUGGACCCGUAAUCCGGGUUGCGGACAGUGUCUGGUGGGUAGUUUGACUGGGGCGGUCUCCUCCUAAAGAGUAACGGAGGAGCACGAAGGUUGGCUAAUCCUGGUCGGACAUCAGGAGGUUAGUGCAAUGGCAUAAGCCAGCUUGACUGCGAGCGUGACGGCGCGAGCAGGUGCGAAAGCAGGUCAUAGUGAUCCGGUGGUUCUGAAUGGAAGGGCCAUCGCUCAACGGAUAAAAGGUACUCCGGGGAUAACAGGCUGAUACCGCCCAAGAGUUCAUAUCGACGGCGGUGUUUGGCACCUCGAUGUCGGCUCAUCACAUCCUGGGGCUGAAGUAGGUCCCAAGGGUAUGGCUGUUCGCCAUUUAAAGUGGUACGCGAGCUGGGUUUAGAACGUCGUGAGACAGUUCGGUCCCUAUCUGCCGUGGGCGCUGGAGAACUGAGGGGGGCUGCUCCUAGUACGAGAGGACCGGAGUGGACGCAUCACUGGUGUUCGGGUUGUCAUGCCAAUGGCACUGCCCGGUAGCUAAAUGCGGAAGAGAUAAGUGCUGAAAGCAUCUAAGCACGAAACUUGCCCCGAGAUGAGUUCU